Mirounga angustirostris (Northern elephant seal) is the source of this 854-nucleotide RNA transcript. It is a transcript of the gene named NADH:ubiquinone oxidoreductase complex assembly factor 8, with no coding region annotated. NCBI's taxonomy places the organism in Eukaryota, Metazoa, Chordata, Mammalia, Carnivora, Phocidae. The record is from RefSeq and is a predicted model, not a curated record. The transcript has 4 exons.
GAAGGCGCGCCCAUUGAGCCCCUGGGCGCCGGAAGAGGACGGACCUAAGGUGGCGGCGCCCCCGGGUGCCGGGAGGAGCCGCUCAUGUCGGGGAACGGAGCGGCGUGGGGGCGCGUGCGAGGUCGCCUCCGCGCCUUCCCCGAGCGCCUAGCGGCCUGUGGGGCCGAGGCCGCGGCCUACGGCAGGUGCGUGCAGGCGUCCACGGCCCCGGGCGGCCGCCUGACGAAGGACCUCUGUGCGCGGGAGUUCGAGGCCCUGCGGAGCUGCUUCGCCGCCGCGGUAGGUGGGCGCCGCCCGGGGCCUCUCCCUUGCCCCUCCGCCUGGGGAGGGACAGCGGGCCCCGUGCGUUCGGCGCCGGGCUCCAGCCGCCGCGCAGCUCGUGUGCCCGCGUGCUGAGCCGGUGAGAGUUGUGAAGAUCGCCAGCCCUGAAGUGAAGAAUCAGUGUUGCGUUACACGUUUUCAUAAAGGGUGUGGAGCAAGUAGGGUUGGAGGAGAUGCAGACUCGCGAAACCUAGAUGGGAGUUCCAGACGGAGUGAGCGGGGGGCUGCCGCGAUGCGGUCCUGGGCUGGUGCCCGAUCCGGCCAAGAAGACUCUAAGGGGAGGCUGUUAGGAUGGAUGAGCCAGCAAUGCACUUCUGUUUACUGCCUCAGGGAGCAGAGCCGGACGUCCGGUGCUGAUGGCCCCAAACGGCAGAUGUCAAAAACCUCUAAAGCCUGUAGAGCUGAAAGGACUUCGGGCGCGUCAGGGCGAGUUGUGGACAGAGGGCGAGUUGGUUUUCCUGCAUCGUGUGCCUGAGGAUUCGGGUUAGAGUAAGACAAUGAAGCAACAAUAAAGACCGUGGCAGACCACACAA